RNAcentral lists this small nucleolar RNA (136 nucleotides) under Cavia aperea (Brazilian guinea pig). The record is from RNAcentral. Lineage: Eukaryota; Metazoa; Chordata; Mammalia; Rodentia; Caviidae.
AUAUGGCCCUUAUCGAAGCUGCAGCUGCUUGUAUGUAGUUGCUGCAGUCAAAAAGGAGCCCAGAGUAAGAAUUUUCCUUGACGGUCGCCGUUCUGUUUGCUGUAACCGAUCUGCAGCAUUUUGGGGAAAGACAGUU